AUGCUCGCACUCGGCGGCCGCUCCGCCAGGUGCCUCAACUUCGCCGACUCGGCGUGGCUGCUCGCCGUGCCGUCCGCGCUCUCCGACCUCGCCGACGUCCGGCGCGCGGCCCUCCAGGCCGUCGCGGAUUUCCAGCGACGGGAGGCUGCCAAUGGCCUGAUAGCCAGGACCGUUGCCGAGGAGACCCCAUCUAGCGCUCAUGCACAAUCGUCGUCUGAGUCCGACAGUGCCGAUUCGUCGGAGGCGUCGGAAGCUUCCGCCGAUGGAGAGUUCGAGGUGCUGGCUACAAUGGACAUCGAUAUGUUCAGGCUUGACUUGUUCCCGGAAAUGGACCUGGGCUCGUACUACGUGAGCCUCGCAGAGGCGCUGCUCAUGGACCCGCCGUCGACGGCGGCCAUCAUCGACGCGUACUGGGACAACGGCGACGGCGGAGCAGAUGUCGCGCUCUGGAGCUACUAG
RNAcentral lists this ribosomal RNA (459 nucleotides) under Triticum aestivum (bread wheat). RNAcentral describes it as "partial small subunit ribosomal RNA". Lineage: Eukaryota; Viridiplantae; Streptophyta; Magnoliopsida; Poales; Poaceae. The record is from RNAcentral.